RNAcentral lists this ribosomal RNA (412 nucleotides) under bacterium enrichment culture clone ALO1_GLFRUDD03FK05L. RNAcentral's name for it is "bacterial SSU rRNA". It matches the Rfam family "Bacterial small subunit ribosomal RNA", at positions 9 to 421 of the family's 1533-position model. The record is from RNAcentral.
GAGUUUGAUCAUGGCUCAGAUUGAACGCUGGCGGCAUGCCUUACACAUGCAAGUCGAACGGCAGCACGGGAGCUUGCUCCUGGUGGCGAGUGGCGAACGGGUGAGUAAUGCAUCGGAACGUAUCCUGGAGUGGGGGAUAACGUAGCGAAGGUUACGCUAAUACCGCAUAUUCUGUGAGCAGGAAAGCGGGGGACCUUCGGGCCUCGCGCUCUUGGAGCGGCCGAUGUCGGAUUAGCUAGUUGGUGAGGUAAAGGCUCACCAAGGCGACGAUCCGUAGCAGGUCUGAGAGGAUGAUCUGCCACACUGGAACUGAGACACGGUCCAGACUCCUACGGGAGGCAGCAGUGGGGAAUUUUGGACAAUGGGGGCAACCCUGAUCCAGCCAUGCCGCGUGAGUGAAGAAGGCCUUCGG